This 585-nucleotide ribosomal RNA is filed under the name uncultured bacterium. Its description in RNAcentral is "partial 16S ribosomal RNA". It matches the Rfam family "Bacterial small subunit ribosomal RNA", at positions 355 to 1375 of the family's 1533-position model. The record is from RNAcentral.
UGGGGAAUUUUGGACAAUGGGCGAAAGCCUGAUCCAGCAAUGCCGCGUGUGUGAAGAAGGCCUUCGGGUUGUAAAGCACUUUUGUCCGGAAAGAAAUCCUUGGCUCUAAUACAGUCGGGGGAUGACGGUACCGGAAGAAUAAGCACCGGCUAACUACGUGCCAGCAGCCGCGGUAAUACGUAGGGUGCAAGCGUUAAUCGGAAUUACUGGGCGUAAAGCGUGCGCAGGCGGUUUGCUAAGACCGAUGUGAAAUCCCCGGGCUCAACCUGGGAACUGCAUUGGUGACUGGCAGGCUAGAGUAUGGCAGAGGGGGGUAGAAUUCCACGUGUAGCAGUGAAAUGCGUAGAGAUGUGGAGGAAUACCGAUGGCGAAGGCAGCCCCCUGGGCCAAUACUGACGCUCAUGCACGAAAGCGUGGGGAGCAAACAGGAUUAGAUACCCUGGUAGUCCACGCCCUAAACGAUGUCAACUAGUUGUUGGGGGAUUCAUUUCCUUAGUAACGUAGCUAACGCGUGAAGUUGACCGCCUGGGGAGUACGGUCGCAAGAUUAAAACUCAAGGAAUUGACGGGGUCAUAGCUGUUUCCU